UACAUGGGGUGCAAACGUUGCUCGGAAUUAUUGGGCGUAAAGCGCACGUAGGCGGUUCGUUAAGUCGGAUGUGAAAGCCCUCGGCUCAACUGAGGAAGUGCACCCGAAACUGGCGAGCUUGAGUACGAAAGAGGAUCGCGGAAUUCCCGGUGUAGAGGUGAAAUUCGUAGAUAGUCGGGAAGGAACACCGGUGGCGAAGGCGGCCACCUGGACGGUCAC
RNAcentral lists this ribosomal RNA (219 nucleotides) under uncultured bacterium. Its description in RNAcentral is "partial 16S ribosomal RNA". It matches the Rfam family "Bacterial small subunit ribosomal RNA", at positions 524 to 740 of the family's 1533-position model. The record is from RNAcentral.